CUCGUAGGCGGUCUGUCACGUCGGACGUGAAAAUCCAGGGCUCAACCCUGGACCUGCGUUCGAUACGGGCAGACUAGAGUUCGGUAGGGGAGACUGGAAUUCCUGGUGUAGCGGUGAAAUGCGCAGAUAUCAGGAGGAACACCGGUGGCGAAGGCGGGUCUCUGGGCCGAAACUGACGCUGAGGAGCGAAAGCGUGGGGAGCAAACA
RNAcentral lists this ribosomal RNA (207 nucleotides) under uncultured bacterium. Its description in RNAcentral is "partial 16S ribosomal RNA". It matches the Rfam family "Bacterial small subunit ribosomal RNA", at positions 568 to 774 of the family's 1533-position model. The record is from RNAcentral.